Molecule: small RNA, 142 nt
Filed under: Pongo abelii (Sumatran orangutan)
Lineage: Eukaryota; Metazoa; Chordata; Mammalia; Primates; Hominidae
Description: Metazoan signal recognition particle RNA (ENSPPYG00000033276.1)
Source: Rfam by way of RNAcentral
GCCGGGCAUGGUGGUGCAUGCCUGUAGUCCCAGCUACUCAGGAGGCUGAGGCAGGAGAAUCGCUUGAACCCAGGAGGUUGCAGUGAGCCAAGAUUGCGCCACUGCACUCCCACCUGGGUGACAGAGUGAGACUCUGUCUCAA